GUCUACGGCCAUACCACCCUGAACGCGCCUGAACUCAUCUGGUCUCAGAAGCUAAGCAGGGUCAGGCCUGGUUAGUACUUGGAUGGGAGACCACCUGAGAUUACUGGGUGCUGUAGACU
Molecule: ribosomal RNA, 119 nt
Organism: Echinops telfairi (small Madagascar hedgehog)
Lineage: Eukaryota; Metazoa; Chordata; Mammalia; Afrosoricida; Tenrecidae
Source: Ensembl